GAGAAAUUGAAGAGGAAACGUGAGAAUGAAAGUGGAUGCCCGCGAAUCCCGGAAGUCAGGCUGUUUUUUUCAGUUCCCUGGAGGCUUUUUGAUACUGAUUCGCGUACACCUGUUGUUUGAAAGCUCUCAGCGGGACAAUGCUGACCCAGCUGAAAGCAAAAUCAGAGGGGAAGCUUGCAAAACAGAUUUGCAAAGUUGUGUUGGAUCAUUUUGAAAAACAGUAUUCCAAAGAACUCGGAGAUGCCUGGAAUACAGUAAGGGAGAUACUAACAUCUCCAUCAUGCUGGCAAUAUGCUGUCCUGCUUAACCGAUUCAAUUAUCCUUUUGAACUGGAAAAGGAUUUACAUUUGAAGGGCUAUCACACACUCUUUCAGGGAUCUUUACCCAACUAUCCUAAAUCAAUGAAGUGUUACCUUAGCAGAACUCCGGGCCGAAUCCCUUCAGAAAGACACCAAAUUGGAAACCUGAAAAAAUAUUAUCUCCUAAAUGCUGCUUCUCUUCUCCCAGUGUUGGCUCUGGAAUUAAGGGAUGGGGAGAAGGUUCUGGAUCUCUGUGCUGCUCCUGGAGGCAAAUCAAUAGCUCUGCUGCAGUGUGCUUGUCCAGGUAGUGUGCUUUCCUUUCAGUAUUUGACAACUUUUUAAUAUCUGUAUGUUAUAGAGAAUUUUGAAAGUAUAUAUGGGGAGAAACGUAAGACUGAGUUUGCAAACUCAGGAAGCCUGAAAACUGAGAUGCUAUGGAGAAGAAUGGAAAUUUUUGCUGAGGAAGUCAGUAUAAAUAACAUUUUUUUCAGCAAUUUAAUUCUAGCAGGUGAUUGGGAACAAAACUUCAACAUUUUGCAAAUACAAAUCUGUCAGAUAAUAUGAAUGCUGAUAAGCCUGAUAGGUAUUUUUUAUUGUUUACCUUUAUACUUGAGAGUCUUAUGUAGAUAUCCCUGUCAUACUUUUCUGCAACAAAAACAUAUACAUUUAAAAUAAUUUUUGAUGUCAAUAGACUAUAAGGUUCCAAGGCAAUUCUUUCCAGUAGAAAUAUAAUGUGAAGUAUAUAUAUACCCUUAAAUAUUUAAGUAGUUCCAUUUUAAAAAGUAGAAGCAGGUGAAAUUAAUUUGAAUAAUACAUUGAACCAAUACAUUCAAAAUAUUGUUUCAAUAUGUAAUCAAAAUAGAAAUAACAAGAUAUUUUACAUUCUCUUUUUUUUUUUACAGGUCUUUAAAAUUGGUUACGUUACAGUUACAUCACAUUUCAGUUGGGACUAGCCACAUUUCAGGUGUUCAUAGCCACAUGUGAGAAGAGGGUAUAGUAUUGGACAAUCCAAAAAGUCUUUUCAAGUGACUUUUUCAUUAAUAUUAUUAUUAGAACCAAAGUGGUACACAGGUUUACAAAUAUUUGUUAAAAGUAACAAGUCAACAUUUACAAUUUUUACAAUAUUUACAAAAUUUACAAUUUUUUUCUUAAUAAUUUUUCUUUUAAAGCUAAUUCUUUUUUUAAACAACUAAUACAGGCUUCCCCGAAUAAAUAUUACUUACUACUAGAAGAGGCA
RNAcentral lists this small RNA (1536 nucleotides) under Pan troglodytes (chimpanzee). RNAcentral describes it as "retained intron". The record is from RNAcentral. Lineage: Eukaryota; Metazoa; Chordata; Mammalia; Primates; Hominidae.